Molecule: long non-coding RNA, 1859 nt
Organism: Oncorhynchus masou masou (cherry salmon)
Lineage: Eukaryota; Metazoa; Chordata; Actinopteri; Salmoniformes; Salmonidae
Exons: 4
Source: RefSeq, a predicted model, not a curated record
ACAAAUGGCAGCCGCCAGCAACUCAAGCAUACCGCUGUGCCCGCGGGUUAAAAGUAAAAACACAAACAAUUGUACACCUCUGCCCGCUGUCUUGCUGGUAAACAACUUUACUUAAUUGCAAUUUCCAAGACGCUGGAGAGUUUAGCCUACAGCUAAAUUAGUUAGCGCAUGCUUUUUUUUGCGAUUGAUCUGUUGGAGCCUCCAACGCGGGUGAAGGAUAAUGCUUCUUCUCAUUCGGAGUCCAAAGCCAAGAACUGCGAUUUGUGUCCUGCGAUGAGAGCCAAUAUCUAACGAAACAAACAGCGGGCUCUGAUGCUGAGGCAAGCCCUACUGGCCAGCAGACAAUCGGCAGGAGAAGGGGGUGGAACCUCGGCUAAAGUCACCAAGACAGUCGACUCUGGAGAAGGGUUCUUCAUUGAUGGAGAGCGACAGGAGGAGCAAAGGACAAAGAAAGUUGUGCAUCAACCAGGUAUGUGCAUUAAUAGUCAGUCAAAUAUGACAGGGGGAAGUAUUCACAUUUGUUGCAUGAUGUAAAUAUAGUUACAUCUUAUCUGCAGAUCCUCUGCAUGUCCGGUGUAACAGAGAAAUAUGCAUUGUUGGUUCAUGUGCGGCCCUUUGUGGAUUCAUGUAAUUCCACAUGCCAGUUGCUGAGUGGAGUCAGUUUCAGGUAUUCCAGACGUCCCCUAUUAUAAUGGAAGUUCAUAAUACAUUAUUUAUGGCACAGUGACAACCGUCCAACCACUAUCUGAAUGACUGUAGAUCAGUUUUUACUGACAAGACACCUUGGCUGACCUCUCCCUCCUAGCACUCUCUCUGCACUGCCUGUGAUUCGAGAUAAGUGUGUGUGUGCUAAAAUGACUAGAAUGUAAUCAUUUUAAAUGUACUAGUAGUGUAUUGGCAGUGUUGAGCCUGGGUGCCAGUCUACUGACAGUUCCGUAAGUAGUUUUCAGGAGAGCAGAGGCUAACUGGUGUUCAGGUUUAGUGUUGCGCUCUGCUGCUCUCUCUGACUCCGUCCUCCCCCUAGCCCCCGGUGAUGGAGACUGACUAUCUGCUGUGUGAUGACUGUGACACGCCGGUUGAUUGUUUCCUACCUCAGCGAACGGCUUCGAUCUGGCAGUCUGUGACAACUGCAGGCUAAGCAGCUCUACCUACUGAAGGACUGUGACCUGGACCAGAGGGAGCCAGUGCUGAGGUUUGUCCUGAAGAAGAACCCCACACAACCCUCACCGGGGAGACAUCAAACUCUACCUUGAGCUGCAGGUUUGCGUGCUCCUUAGGAGGCCAACGAGUCCAGAGAGGAGAACAGGGAGGUGCAGAAGCGCAUCAACAAAAAGAGCUGUUGUCGUGCAGUGAGGACCAGCGUGUGGACAAAGGACACCAGUGCUCACCGGCACAAGUACCGGCCCUGAGGAACUAGUGGAUGAAGAGGAGGAUCUCUACAGGAAGGCCUGUAAACACCUGUGAACACAAACUGACCUAUGAGGAGAUGUAGCCCUCGAGUCUUUUAAAUCAGAGGCUCACAGGGGGAGUUUUGUGGGUCUCUGGUAAUACAUCCGACAUGUAAAACUGAGAUUCAAAUGAGUGACACAUCAUACUUCUCACAUGCCUUGAAGCUGAAGCAAGGAGGCCUACCUGAAAUUGUCUCAGCACAUGCCAUACACAAAGCCACCGCAAGAGGGCAUUAAUACAUCGACACAUUUUUACAGAGAAACGUACUGCUCAGAAGCUGGCGACGGCUGCAAUGUUAUGUUAUCAAUUGUUUAGCAUGUUAACUUCCAUUUUGUAUUUGUCACUUCUAAGAUUUAAUAAUGUGUAGAAGGAUCUGCAUGUGCAAAUAAAAUAAAUAUAUUUUUCCAUAA